AACGAACGCUGGCGGCAUGCCUAACACAUGCAAGUCGAACGAGACCUCCGGGUCUUGUGGCGCACGGGUGCGUAACGCGUGGGAACCUGCCCUUAGGUACCGAAUAAUUCCCUGUAGGGGGUGCUAAUACCGGAUAAUGUAUUCGGACCAAAGAUUUAUCGCCUUUGGAUGGGCGCGCGAUGGUUUAGCUAGUUGGUAGGGUAAAAGCCUAUCAAGGCGACGUUCCUUAGCUGGUCUGAGAGGAGGAUCAACCACACUGGGGCUGAGACACGGCCCAGAAUGCUACGGGAGGGAGGAGAGGGGAAUACAGGACGAUGGGGGAAGGCCUGAUCCCGCAGUGCCGCGGAAGUGAUGAUGGCGUUAGGGUAGUGCAGCUGUUUUAGACGGGGCGAUAAUGACGGUACCGGGAGAAUAAGCACCGGCUAACUCCGUG
RNAcentral lists this ribosomal RNA (433 nucleotides) under uncultured bacterium. Its description in RNAcentral is "partial 16S ribosomal RNA". It matches the Rfam family "Bacterial small subunit ribosomal RNA", at positions 29 to 507 of the family's 1533-position model. The record is from RNAcentral.